UAGGGAAUCUUCGGCAAUGGACGAAAGUCUGACCGAGCAACGCCGCGUGAGUGAAGAAGGUUUUCGGAUCGUAAAACUCUGUUGGUAGAGAAGAACGUUGGUGAGAGUGGAAAGCUCAUCAAGUGACGGUAACUACCCAGAAAGGGACGGCUAACUACGUGCCAGCAGCCGCGGUAAUACGUAGGUCCCGAGCGUUGUCCGGAUUUAUUGGGCGUAAAGCGAGCGCAGGUGGUUUAUUAAGUCUGGUGUAAAAGGCAGUGGCUCAACCAUUGUAUGCAUUGGAAACUGGUAGACUUGAGUGCAGGAGAGGAGAGUGGAAUUCCAUGUGUAGCGGUGAAAUGCGUAGAUAUAUGGAGGAACACCGGUGGCGAAAGCGGCUCUCUGGCCUGUAACUGACACUGAGGCUCGAAAGCGUGGGGAGCAAACAGGAUUAGAUAGCCCUGGUAGUCCACGCCGUAAA
This 460-nucleotide ribosomal RNA is filed under the name uncultured bacterium. Its description in RNAcentral is "partial 16S ribosomal RNA". It matches the Rfam family "Bacterial small subunit ribosomal RNA", at positions 355 to 806 of the family's 1533-position model. The record is from RNAcentral.